CUUUCUCCUUGGCCUUUUGGCUAAGAUCAAGUGUAGCGUGUGUUUUAUCAGUUUCAUAUCUGAUACAGCUGUUAUCCAAGGGCAAUAUAUUAAAUGGAUUUUUGGAGCAGGGAGUUGGAAUAGGAACUUGCU
Molecule: small nuclear RNA, 132 nt
Organism: Oryctolagus cuniculus (rabbit)
Lineage: Eukaryota; Metazoa; Chordata; Mammalia; Lagomorpha; Leporidae
Gene: U2
Rfam family: U2 spliceosomal RNA
About the family: U2 is a small nuclear RNA (snRNA) component of the spliceosome (involved in pre-mRNA splicing).
Source: Ensembl